RNAcentral lists this ribosomal RNA (693 nucleotides) under Careproctus rastrinus. Its description in RNAcentral is "partial 16S rRNA". The stretch from base 1 to 443 matches the Rfam family "Bacterial large subunit ribosomal RNA", at positions 705 to 1298 of the family's 2925-position model. The record is from RNAcentral. Lineage: Eukaryota; Metazoa; Chordata; Actinopteri; Perciformes; Liparidae.
GUUUGAUACCCCGAAACUACGUGAGCUACUUCAAGACAGCCUAUUAAUAGGGCUAACCCAUCUCUGUGGCAAAAGCGUGGAAAGAACUUUGAGUAGAGGUGACAAACCUACCGAACCUAGUUAUAGCUGGUUGUCCAAGAAAUGAAUAAAAGUUCAGCCUCUAAGCUUCUCCUUUCACCUGAACUUAACCCCUUUAGAUGUAUUAAAGAAACUAAGAAAGUUAGUCAAAGGAGGUACAGCUCCUUUGAAUCAAGACACAACUUUAACAGGCGGGUAAAGAUCAUAAUAACCAAAGCUAGACAUUCUGGUGGGCCUAAAAGCAGCCAUCCCUUAGAAAGCGUUAAAGCUCAAACAUAUUACUUAUACCUUCUUAUCCUGAUCAAUAAAUCUCACCCCCCUAACCAUACUGGACCCUCCCAUGCCCCCAUGGGUGUGAUUAUGCUAAUAUGAGUAAUAAGAGAGCCCGCCUCUCUCCCUGCACACGUGUACCUCGGAACAGACAACCCACCGACCAUUAACGACCCCAAACAAAGAGGGUAAUAAAUCAUAAACUAAAAUCAAGUAAAACAUUUAAAAAUUAACCGUUAACCCCACACAGGUGUACCCCAAGGAAAGACCUAAAGAAAGAGAAGGAACUCGGCAAACACAUAAAGUCUCGCCUGUUUACCAAAAACAUCGCCUCUUGUACCCCCC